Molecule: ribosomal RNA, 265 nt
Filed under: Bacillus cereus
Lineage: Bacteria; Bacillati; Bacillota; Bacilli; Caryophanales; Bacillaceae
Also listed under: 1 other name
Description: partial 16S ribosomal RNA
Rfam family: Bacterial small subunit ribosomal RNA
Source: RNAcentral
CGUGAGUGAUGAAGGCUUUCGGGUCGUAAAACUCUGUUGUUAGGGAAGAACAAGUACAAGAGUAACUGCUUGUACCUUGACGGUACCUAACCAGAAAGCCACGGCUAACUACGUGCCAGCAGCCGCGGUAAUACGUAGGUGGCAAGCGUUAUCCGGAAUUAUUGGGCGUAAAGCGCGCGCAGGCGGCUUCUUAAGUCUGAUGUGAAAGCCCACGGCUCAACCGUGGAGGGUCAUUGGAAACUGCCGAACUUGACUGCAGAAGACA